UAGUAACUGCGAGUGAAGCGGGAAGAGCUCAAAUUUAAAAUCUGGCGGUUCUGCCGUCCGAGUUGUAAUCUGGAGAAGCGUUUUCUGUGCUGGACCGUGCAUAAGUGUCUUGGAAUAGGACGUCAUAGAGGGUGAGAAUCCCGUCUUUGGUACGGACUACCAGUGCUCUGUGAUACGCUCUCAAAGAGUCGAGUUGUUUGGGAAUGCAGCUCAAAAUGGGUGGUAAAUUCCAUCUAAAGCUAAAUAUAGGCGAGAGACCGAUAGCGAACAAGUACCGUGAGGGAAAGAUGAAAAGCACUUUGGAAAGAGAGUUAAACAGUACGUGAAAUUGUUGAAAGGGAAACGCUUGAAGUCAGUCGCGUUGUCCAGGACUCAACCUUAGUUCUCUUUGGUGUAUUUCCUGGUUAACGGGUCAACAUCAAUUUUGAUCGGUGGACAAAGGCAGUGGGAAUGUGGCACCCUCGGGUGUGUUAUAGCCCAUUGUUGUAUACACUGGUUGGGAUUGAGGAUAUCACGCCCUCGGCGGUAGGAUGUUGGCAUAAUGGCUUUAAGCGACCCGUCUUGAAACACGGACCAAGGAGUCUAACAUGCCUGCGAGUGUUAGGGUGGCAAACCCUUGCGCGUAAUGAAAGUGAAAGUUGGGACCUCUCUGAGGGCACCGACGCCCGGCCCUGAACUCUUGUGACGGUGCUGCGGUAGAGCAUGUAUGUUGGGACCCGAAAGAUGGUGAACUAUGCCUGAAUAGGGCGAAGCCAGAGGAAACUCUGGUGGAGGCUCGUAGCGAUUCUGACGUGCAAAUCGAUCGUCAAAUUUGGGUAUAGGGGCGAAAGACUAAUCGAACCAUCUAGUAGCUGGUUCCUGCCGAAGUUUCCCUCAGGAUAGCAGAAACUCGUAUCAGAUUUAUGUGGUAAAGCGAAUGAUUAGAGGCCUUGGGGUUGAAACAACCUUAACCUAUUCUCAAACUUUAAAUAUGUAAGAACAAGCCGUCUCUUAGUUGGACCGCUUGUCGAUUGAGAGUUUCUAGUGGGCCAUUUUUGGUAAGCAGAACUGGCGAUGCGGGAUGAACCGAACGUGAGGUUAAGGUGCCGGAAUACACGC
RNAcentral lists this ribosomal RNA (1098 nucleotides) under Peniophorella crystallifera. Its description in RNAcentral is "partial large subunit ribosomal RNA". It matches the Rfam family "Eukaryotic large subunit ribosomal RNA", at positions 81 to 1200 of the family's 3401-position model. Lineage: Eukaryota; Fungi; Basidiomycota; Agaricomycetes; Hymenochaetales. The record is from RNAcentral.